Non-coding RNA from Caloranaerobacter azorensis H53214, 140 nucleotides. Lineage: Bacteria; Bacillati; Bacillota; Tissierellia; Tissierellales; Thermohalobacteraceae. The record is from Rfam.
AAUAUCUUUAACCUAGUCCAGAGAGGCUAGGAAGGUAUAAAAUAGCGGGAGUUGUGUGUAUAGCAUGGCUUAUCUAGUCAUGUCUGUUUGGCAUAAAUGUGAUUAUAACCUUCCUCGUCUCGAUGGGGAAGGUUUUAAUU